This 253-nucleotide ribosomal RNA is filed under the name uncultured bacterium. RNAcentral describes it as "partial 16S ribosomal RNA". It matches the Rfam family "Bacterial small subunit ribosomal RNA", at positions 524 to 776 of the family's 1533-position model. The record is from RNAcentral.
UACGGAGGGUGCAAGCGUUAUCCGGAUUCACUGGGUUUAAAGGGUGCGUAGGUGGGUUGGUAAGUCAGUGGUGAAAUCCCCGAGCUUAACUUGGGAACUGCCAUUGAUACUAUCAGUCUUGAAUACCGUGGAGGUCAGCGGAAUAUGUCAUGUAGCGGUGAAAUGCUUAGAUAUGACAUAGAACACCAAUUGCGAAGGCAGCUGACUACACGAAUAUUGACACUGAGGCACGAAAGCGUGGGGAGCAAACAGG